AUUGAACGCUGGCGGCAUGCCUUACACAUGCAAGUCGAACGGUAACAGGUCUUCGGAUGCUGACGAGUGGCGAACGGGUGAGUAAUACAUCGGAACGUGCCUAGUAGUGGGGGAUAACUACUCGAAAGAGUGGCUAAUACCGCAUGAGAUCUACGGAUGAAAGCAGGGAAUCGCAAGACCUUGUGCUACUAGAGCGGUCGAUGGCUGAUUAGGUAGUUGGUGGGAUAAAAGCUUACCAAGCCGACGAUCUGUAGCUGGUCUGAGAGGACGAUCAGCCACGCUGGGACUGAGACACGGCCCAGACUCCUACGGGAGGCAGCAGUGGGGAAUUUUGGACAAUGGGCGAAAGCCUGAUCCAGCAAUGCCGCGUGCAGGAUGAAGGCCUUCGGGUUGUAAACUGCUUUUGUACGGAACGAAAGCCCCGGGUUAAUACCCUGGGGUCAUGACGGUACCGUAAGAAUAAGCACCGGCUAACUACGUGCCAGCCGCCGCGGUAA
Molecule: ribosomal RNA, 497 nt
Filed under: uncultured bacterium
Lineage: Bacteria
Description: partial 16S ribosomal RNA
Rfam family: Bacterial small subunit ribosomal RNA
Source: RNAcentral